Oryza brachyantha (malo sina) is the source of this 206-nucleotide non-coding RNA. NCBI's taxonomy places the organism in Eukaryota, Viridiplantae, Streptophyta, Magnoliopsida, Poales, Poaceae. The record is from Rfam.
UUUAUAUGACGCCGUUGACUUUUUAGGUUCAUGUUUGACCAUUCGUCUUAUUCAAAAAAAUUAUAUAAUUAUUAAUUAUUUUGUUAUAAUAUGAUUUAUUAUUAUAGAAACUUUAAUUAUGCAUUAUAAUUUUGCAUAUUUGGAUAUAAAUUUUAAAUAAGACGAAUGAUCAAACGUGAUUCUAAAAAUCAACGGUGUCAUACAUA